Molecule: ribosomal RNA, 522 nt
Filed under: uncultured bacterium
Lineage: Bacteria
Description: bacterial SSU rRNA
Rfam family: Bacterial small subunit ribosomal RNA
Source: RNAcentral
AGAGUUUGAUCCUGGCUCAGAUUGAACGCUGGCGGCAUGCUUUACACAUGCAAGUCGAACGGCAGCACGGGUGCUUGCACCUGGUGGCGAGUGGCGGACGGGUGAGUAAUACAUCGGAACGUAUCCUAAAGUGGGGGAUAACGCAUCGAAAGAUGUGCUAAUACCGCAUACACUCUGAGGAGGAAAGUAGGGGAUCGAAAGACCUUAUGCUUUUGGAGCGGCCGAUGUCUGAUUAGCUAGUUGGUAAGGUAAUGGCUUACCAAGGCAACGAUCAGUAGUUGGUCUGAGAGGACGACCAGCCACACUGGGACUGAGACACGGCCCAGACUCCUACGGGAGGCAGCAGUGGGGAAUUUUGGACAAUGGGCGCAAGCCUGAUCCAGCAAUGCCGCGUGAGUGAAGAAGGCCUUCGGGUUGUAAAGCUCUUUCAGUUGAGAAGAAAAGAUUGUGACUAAUAAUUGCAAUUCAUGACGGUAUCAACAGAAGAAGCACCGGCUAACUACGUGCCAGCAGCCGCGGUAA